This 62-nucleotide transfer RNA is filed under the name Haemaphysalis punctata. Its description in RNAcentral is "tRNA-Gly". The record is from RNAcentral. Lineage: Eukaryota; Metazoa; Arthropoda; Arachnida; Ixodida; Ixodidae.
AUUUAAUUAGUAUAAUCAGUACAUUUAAUUUCCAAUUAAAAAGUUUAAAUAAAAAUUAAAUA